Nematostella vectensis (starlet sea anemone) is the source of this 1161-nucleotide long non-coding RNA. RefSeq lists it as uncharacterized. The transcript is spliced from 2 exons. Lineage: Eukaryota; Metazoa; Cnidaria; Anthozoa; Actiniaria; Edwardsiidae. The record is from RefSeq and is a predicted model, not a curated record.
UCCUUCAACACUGAUUCUUCCGGGGUGUUGGGCUCUAGCUCUUCUAGUUUCUUUGAGGUUUACUGCUGAGUAAAUGAAACCGAAUUAGAAUACUAUGCCCAAUGUGCGUUUGCGUUUGACUUAUCUAUGCACCUCUCGGUGAUUGGAGUGGCGAAAUUACAAAGACCAGCGGCACUUAUCUCUUGCUAUCUUGUGCCAUUUACCCGGAUCCCGAGAUGUCAAAGCGCGUGAUAUGUGAACUUGACAGCUUAGAGUCAUGGGGUUUUCCGGGGGUGAAUUGCAAAGUUAUUGUGGACCAAAUAAACAAUAAAUACGAAUGAAUACUGGCUGACAAAGCAAACUUAUAUUAAUUAGCACAAGGUAAACUUUAAGAGUGUGCAAAGAAAGGAUGAUGUCUGGGUAUUUUUGCUACUUGAUACAGGAUAAAGAGGAUUUUUAAGGAAAUUUCCAGCUUUUCAAGAUUUGCAUGCGUAGUUGUUCAGAUGUACAAACUUUGUAGUUAAAACAAAUAAAUGAUCUCAGAUUUGUGACGUGACUUCAAACACUUUACGUUUAGUAUGUUUUGUGGGUAGUGUUAGUGUUUCUCCGCCGUACAAUGGUGGAGCGGUUCAUCAAAAAGAAAUUUAAUAAAGUGUUGGAAAAAUGUUGAAAAGAUAAAGCGUCAUAACCAAACAAUGGGAAAACGCGACGACAGGCUGCUUUUACUUGUCACUUUUAUUUGUAAUUCAGCUUUUCUGAGUACAAAUCCACAUUGAAAUCGACUCACAAAUCUAAAUGUUAUUGUUUCGUCGCGUUUCAUUCAAGACGGAUUUAUCGGGGAGGUCCGCUUUGAGAUGAGACUGGCAAAUCAGGUGGCGUCAUGGUCGGAGACCCAGAUGUCUUAGCGGUCGCCCAUGAAAGACUCUUUACGGCAUGACUUUCGUGGCCAAAAAAGCAAGCACUGGAAAUUCGUGCCUUGAUAAGUGCGCAGUUCCCUUUUUGUUCAACAAUAGAGGAAUACAGGGCGUCACUACAAACCACCAUGUUGUUUUUGGGUGCAUGGUCGUGAUCACGUGACGGGGUGGUCCAACUAAGGCGCCAGGAUUCCUAAUAACUCUGCCUCUACUAUGUUCUGCCGCGAUGUAUGCAAUGCUGUAUACAGUAUAAAUUUGUAAAUUGUUA